UGCCUACGGGGGGCAGCAGUGGGGGAUAUUGGACAAUGGGGGAAACCCUGAUCCAGCGAUGCCGCGUGAGGGAAGAAGGUUUUCGGAUUGUAAACCUCUGUGGAGGGGGACGAUAAUGACGGUACCCCUUUAGGAAGCCACGGCUAACUACGUGCCAGCAGCCGCGGUAAUACGUAGGGGGCAAGCGUUAUCCGGAAUUACUGGGUGUAAAGGGAGCGUAGACGGUUAAGUAAGUCUGGAGUGAAAGGCCGGGGCCCAACCCCGGGACUG
This 270-nucleotide ribosomal RNA is filed under the name uncultured bacterium. Its description in RNAcentral is "partial 16S ribosomal RNA". It matches the Rfam family "Bacterial small subunit ribosomal RNA", at positions 335 to 623 of the family's 1533-position model. The record is from RNAcentral.